GGUAAGCCCGCGCUAAGGAUAGUAGCGGCAUCCUUUUAACAUUGGUGGCUGAGGUUCUCGAAGCCACCAAUGUUAAAAGAUACAGCGGAUAGCCUGACCCAAA
This 103-nucleotide small RNA is filed under the name Hyunsoonleella jejuensis. RNAcentral's name for it is "Flavo-1 RNA". It matches the Rfam family "Flavo-1 RNA". Lineage: Bacteria; Pseudomonadati; Bacteroidota; Flavobacteriia; Flavobacteriales; Flavobacteriaceae. The record is from Rfam by way of RNAcentral.